GGGGCGGUAGCUCAGCCGGUUAGAGCAGCGGACUCAUAAUCCGCCGGCCGGUGGUUCGAGCCACCCGCCCACCCCC
Non-coding RNA from Streptomyces phaeoluteigriseus, 76 nucleotides. Lineage: Bacteria; Bacillati; Actinomycetota; Actinomycetes; Kitasatosporales; Streptomycetaceae. The record is from Rfam.